RNAcentral lists this long non-coding RNA (5288 nucleotides) under Solanum tuberosum (potato). RNAcentral describes it as "long non-coding RNA (STUB_LNC003494)". Lineage: Eukaryota; Viridiplantae; Streptophyta; Magnoliopsida; Solanales; Solanaceae. The record is from RNAcentral.
UUGUCAGUAUUUUUCUUUUCUACAAUAUUUUCACCAUAGCUUCUUUACUCUUGUAUUUUUCAAAUCUGUUAUAAUAAUGUUCUUCUUGAGCCGAGUGUCUAUUGGAAUCAACCUCUCUACCCCACAAAGGUAGGGAUAAGGUCUGCAUACACCCCUCACCCUCCCCAAACCCCACUUGUUGGAUCACACUGGCUAUGUUGUUGUUUAAUCAAAGUAUUAACUAAGCAUCUACUGUGAACUCAGUUGAAUGCAUCACAAUUCAUCGACUGAAGCAACAAAGGACUACUACCAGUUGACAGAUGAUAAACUCACUAUUACUGUAAUUUCAAAACUUAAAUACCAAUUAAAAGUUACUAAGCAGUUCAUAAUAAUGAUUGCUUACCUCCAUAAGUUCCACUUUUGCAGCAUCCACACCCUCCACAUCAUUAAAGCCAACCACCUGGUUACUUGGCUUUCUUUUUCUUGCAGGGCUAUUGGCAGCAGAAAGCUGACGAUAGAGAAGCCACAUUAUAGGAGUCAAAGGAAUCCAUAAAGAUAACAUAGUAAUUAAUAAGCUCCUAAUUGACAUAAGUGCUGAUUGUGGGGCUGAGCCAUACGCUGUUCCCUUUUCCCUCAUUAGACUAAGAAGAUAUCCUUCAUCAUGAUCAAUCUUCCUUGUACUAAACUGCCAUACAGGGGUAGAACCUUGGGCUUUUGAUAUUUUACUGAAGACAUUCCUGCCACCUUUGUUGCUAUCUAUAUCUUUGCUUUCCUCAGUGAUGAUUGUGCUUUCAUCAGGAACUAAGGAAUUAUCGCCUGUCUGAGCAUUUUUAAGACUCCACAAGUUCGUAUUGUAGUAAAUACGCCGCGUGCCUUCCUCAAAUUGAACCUUUGAUACAGAUCCUCCCUGAAGGCUGGUAAUCAAGUCUGAAUAUGGAACAACCUUUGGAGAAGGAGUUGCUGUCAAUCUUAGAAACAAAUAACACAAGCCCAAUAUCACAGAAAUUGAAGUUGACAGUGCCACUCUUCUUGUGUUCUUCCUCAGAAACUUCCCAAAAUCAUUUAACAUAGAUAUAACAGAUACCCUUUUCAACCUUCUUGACAGUAAUCUUAUCCUUGGUCUCAAUCUCAACGAAAACUUCCUACGACUAUUAUUACUUCCUGUUUUGUUCAAAUGGGUUUCUAUAUCUCCCUUCUCAUUUACCAUUGACCUAACCCCAGUACUACAAUGCAGUAAUCUACUUUGAGAUUUACAAAACCUAUAAUUCAACCCCAGUAAAGGAACAGAACUUGAGGUAAAACAAGAAUUGGAUAAUGAGCAAGAUUGAUUCUUUAAUCUCCUAAAAGGGUCAGAAUUCCCAAAAUGAAGCAUCCGUUUCUUGUACCUAGACUGAGAAAUACAGAAUCUUGAGGUAAAACAAGAAUUGGGUAAUGAGCAAGAUUGAUUCUUGAAACUUCUUAAAGAUUCAGAAUUUCCAAUAUGGGGUUUCCAUUUCUUGUGAGUAACUAAUAAUCUGCCAUUUGAAACAAGAGGUAAAGAUGCCAUUUUUCUACAAUAUGCACAUGAACUGUUCCAUGAAACUUGGAAAGAACCUGAACCCAACACUAAAGAUUAAUAAUAUACCUGGUUUUGAUACUGAAGCUGGAGACUUUUUAGGGAUUUAGCAUUGUAGAGCAACUUUGAGAGGGAAGAUAAGAGAAGAUUUUGGGGUUUUCAAAAAUUAUUCUGCACUGAGAGGAUGAGAGGGUAUAAGGUGAACCAAAAUCUUGGGAUCUUUUGAUAUUUUCAGAAUUUUAUUCAAUAUGGGAAUUUUGGGUCAUUUUAGUAGUUUUUCUUCUUCUUAAAUUCAUGCUCUUUAAUGUUGUUCUUAGUAUUUUAAGUAGCAAAAAAUUAAUUGAAAAUAUUUUUGAUAUCAGAAGAAGAAAAAAUCUGCGGGGCGGACAUUUUUAUUUUUGUGUUAUAAUAUAACACAAAUUAGAUUUUAUAAAACAUAGCAAAUUAUGCUUCUUAAUUUAUGUCGAAUUUAUGUUAUUAGAUGCAUAGGUUCAAAUUCAACCUAAAAAUUUUGUGUUACAAAGUAUACUUGGAUUUAGAGAUUUUACGUCGAUAGAAAUAUAGGUUUGCCUUAUUCGAUUCAUAACUCAUAGGCUAUGUAUAGAUUUGCCUUAUUCGGUUCAUAACUCAUAGGCUAUGUUUUACGAGGCAUAAUUUUGUUCCUAGUGAGCUUAUGUUGAUAUAGGCAUAAGUUUCAUAAGUUCAGUUUUAGAAUUAACAAAAUUAUACUUUAUGAGAUAUAACUUAUUCAACUGAAUUUUUUAUAAACUAGGUAAAAAAAAUUUCUAAACUUAUGUUAGACAAGCCAAACAUUUUAUAGACUUAUGUCUUGCGAAAUUAGGUCAUAAUUAGAUAUAUUUUCACCCAUGAAUUUUCAUUGAAUGAAUAGUAAGAUAAAAAUUAAAGAUCAUUUCAAAAUAAAGGGUAUUCAUGCAGAAACUUAUAUUUUCAACGGAAGAGCAUAAAUACCAAAUUUUGAGACCAAUAUUUUAUCAGUUGUAGACAGAGUUAAUUGUUUUUUCAAAUACACCAUUUUGGGACCGCUUCAAAUAAAGUUACAAAAAUUUGUGUGUGAAAUUUAGAAAAUUUUGGACAAUCUUUAUUUGAAGUGUGUUCUUGUCAAAGCCAAACAUCACACUUCUUAUUGAAGUUGUUUUAGCAAAGUCAAAUUUUGGAUAUUUUUUAUUGCAGUUGUGGUCUUGACAUGGUCAAAUUUCAGCCAUAUAUUGACCUGCCAAAUAGCUUUAGAUUUCCUUGAAAUUAUGAUCUAAGUAAGGCCAAAUUUGAGAUACCUUUUAGGUCAAUUUAUAUAGAUAAUGUACUAUAUAGCCUUAAUUAUAUUAUAAAAUAAAGUUAAUAUAUUAACACUUGAAUAGCAAAACUAGAGAAGAAUAGAUGGAAUAAUAUGACAAGAACAAAGAAAACAGAAACAAAAAUAGUAGAAGAAGAGAGAUAUAGGAAAUAUGAAGUAGUAACUUAUUCUUGUUGUGUGUAUUUUUUACAUUAUUAUCAAUGUCCUUUAAUAAGCAUUAUGACUUGGAGUAGUUAUAAAGCUACAGUAAUUGUCACGCCCCGAGCCUACACCCAGGAUGUGGCCGGUACUCGAGAACCGUUGCUUGUCCCCAAGCGAACCCUUGAUCUGGCUGACUACUUAGCAGAAAACUUACUCAAGCCGAUAGGAAACUUUAAAUGCAUAAUUAAAAUCAACUCAAUUAAAUGUCUAAAAAUACUUAAUAGGGUAUAAGUAAUAGUUUUCAAGAUCUCAAAAUAGAAAGGAACACACUGAGAGACUCGUCAACUCUAACUAUCUAUGAAGCCUCUAUUACUCAAGAUGGAUGUCAAGACAAGCCCCACGACACCUCAAGACAACUGACUAGAAAAUAAAUGUGAAGUCCCCCGGAAUGCAAGGAGGUUCACCUAAGCUAUCUGAAGUGCAAAGUGAUCUCAACGAAAAGCAUGUUGAUGAUCUUGAACCCUGUAUCUGUAUCACAAUAAGAUGCAGGUCGAAUAACAUCAGUACAUUGAAUGUACAAGUAUGUAAUAUAGCUGAAUAAAAAAUAACUAAAUGAAAGGACCGCAAUAGAUAUAGAUAUAUACUCAACUGAAUGUAAAGAAAUAAAGGAGUGAAAUCAUUAGAACUUUACAAAAAUACUUACUCAUCUCAGAACUCAACAUAAUGAGUGAUAAAAUAAAAAUACACUUUUAACUCUGUUUGGGAGAUUCUCUAACUGACAACCAUCACUAUGAGCUAUGUUAUGAUACAACGUAUCGCCCAUGCUGCCAGAACUAUCAUAUACUGUGUCGGGGUAUAGAACCUCUUAACUAAGUUGAUCCACCAAGCAAUAAGAAUUCAUCUAAAAGGUAUGAUCCUUUACCCAUGUUGGCAAGACAUGGUUUAUGAGGAUUUUGAGUUGUCUGAACUCAUCCCCAUAUCGGUGCUCAAUACUACUUCCAAUAAUAUAUAUGAUCAUGCUCAAAUGUAUAAAACAUACUCUUUCUCUGGUUUGAGAUAAUUACUCAAAGUAUCCUCUUAAAAGAGGUAACUGCUCUGAAAUACCCUGAACUCAUAAACUCUUUUUAGAAAUCAAAGUUUCUCUUUUCUCAAUAUAAAAAUGUUACAUUUGGAAAUACUUAGUUCCCUUUUAUUCUUUCUCAAUCAUGUAUGAAACUCUUCUCAAAACUCAUCUCUGUUUUUCGGAAAAUUAGUUUAAGAUCAUUGGUUAAAAAGGGUUCUCAACAAUAACUACAUAAAAGCUCUUGAAUUUUUCUCUUAAACUCACUUUAGUUUUGAAUGUGCAUUAAGACACAUGAUUAGGUUAUGCAGAAAUUUUCAAAGGUACAUGGAGCCUAUAGGAGCUACUACAGAGAAGGGGGAUGUGUCCACAACUUAAAGGAACAUGUCCGGAUGAAACAAAGAAGGAAUCGGCCCAGGCGACCCCUGGCGCACUGCUAGCGCGGGGCGCCAGGCCCCAAACUUCAAAAGUAGACUUGGGGCUGUCACGAUCCAGGGGUACCCCCUAGAUGUAACAAGGCACAUAGAACCCCGAAAGGCUCCAUGUAAGCCACUUAGCAUAUUACAACAUAAGAUAAUAGAAAAGUGCGUAAAUUUAAAAUAUUUUUUUAAAUACAAUCGAAGUCUCAUAAAACGAAGCAGAAGUCUAUUACAUUUGUCUCAAACCAUCUAAUACUUGAAAAGAGUUAGGGACACAACCCAUACACUAUCUAAACAUAAAGAAAGACAUAAAAGAACAUAGUGGUCAAAUCCUCGAUGGUAUGAGGACUCACCAAGUCUUUGCUUGCUUGCUUCUACUAAGAACCUAUCCACGAGAAUGGAACUCAAUAUCGCCGAACCCUACAUUUAAUAAGAAUGUAGGAAAAAGUAUGUGUUAGUCCAAUAAUGUUCUAAAUAUGAUGGCUAGCACAAAUCAUCAACAUAAGUAUAUAAGAGGCAUUAGUCCACAUAAGACAUAUACCAUAAUCAUAAGAGACAAUAACAUAAGUCAUAAGUAUAAGAGAUAUCAUCAUAGAACAUAGGAAAUAAGCAUGGGAGAUAACAACAUAGUCACAGGCAUAAUCAAUGCAUCUAAUUUAACAUAACAUAAGAGAAAUACUUCAUAAGCCACCUCAAGACAAGCUUGUGCAAUGCAUGCAUAAGAUCCCAUAAUCCCAUAGUGAGGAUGAGAGGGUAUAAGGUGAACCAAAAUCUUGGGAUCUUUUGAUAUUUUCAGAAUUUUAUUCAAUAUGGGAAUUUUGG